This 253-nucleotide ribosomal RNA is filed under the name uncultured bacterium. RNAcentral describes it as "partial 16S ribosomal RNA". It matches the Rfam family "Bacterial small subunit ribosomal RNA", at positions 524 to 776 of the family's 1533-position model. The record is from RNAcentral.
UACGAAGGGGGCUAGCGUUGUUCGGAAUUACUGGGCGUAAAGCGCGCGUAGGCGGCGAUCCAAGUCAGAGGUGAAAGCCUGGGGCUCAACUCCAGAAUUGCCUUUGAAACGGGAUCGCUAGAGUCCGAGAGAGGAUGGCGGAAUUCCUAGUGUAGAGGUGAAAUUCGUAGAUAUUAGGAAGAACACCGGUGGCGAAGGCGGCCAUCUGGCUCGGUACUGACGCUCAGGCGCGAAAGCGUGGGGAGCAAACAGG